UACGAAGGGGGCUAGCGUUGUUCGGAAUUACUGGGCGUAAAGCGCGCGCAGGCGGUCUUCCAAGUCAGUGGUGAAAGCCCGGAGCUCAACUCCGGAACUGCCAUUGAAACUGUUAGACUUGAGGACGAGAGAGGUGAGUGGAAUUCCCAGUGUAGAGGUGAAAUUCGUAGAUAUUCGCAAGAACACCAGUGGCGAAGGCGGCUCACUGGCCCGGUACUGACGCUGAGGUGCGAAAGCGUGGGGAGCAAACAGG
Molecule: ribosomal RNA, 253 nt
Filed under: uncultured bacterium
Lineage: Bacteria
Description: partial 16S ribosomal RNA
Rfam family: Bacterial small subunit ribosomal RNA
Source: RNAcentral